Long non-coding RNA from Hypanus sabinus (Atlantic stingray), 875 nucleotides. RefSeq lists it as uncharacterized. NCBI's taxonomy places the organism in Eukaryota, Metazoa, Chordata, Chondrichthyes, Myliobatiformes, Dasyatidae. The record is from RefSeq and is a predicted model, not a curated record. The transcript has 4 exons.
CAGGGAAUGGUUCUGACAUGAUUGCUUUGCUGGAAGCCAGAAGAUACACAUUGGUCUGAGUAGCUUCCUUUUAUAUUGUAAAAAAGCAUCUACAGGGGAAAAAAGAAAUAUAAUAGAAUUUACAAAAAAUUCUACAUAAACAACCGAAGACAAUCAACAUGCAAAAGAAGACAAGCUGUACAGAAAAAAAUUAUACUGAGAACAUGAGAUAUAAAGAGUCCUUGAAAAUGCUGGAAAUCUGAAAUAAAAGCAGAAAGUGAUGGAACCUUGAGCAAGUCAGAAGUGAGGAAAAUGAUGUUUCAGGUGCAGGAUCCUGCAGCAACAGUUUGGAAUUCGUGAAUGACAUUAUUGGUAUUAUUACCGACAACACCACAGUUGACAUCCAUAUACAUAACUUCCACCAAGACCAGACCAUCAGGAAGCAGCACUGCGCAAAAGCAAAUAAGAGUGUGUAAUGCAAGUAAAUUUAGGAGAGGACUGACAGGUUUGUAUCAAUCGCCAGUAUCUUAAAUCCCACAGACAGUGGGAAAUGAAUUCAGACAGGAUGCAAAAUACUGUAGGUGAUCAAUGUAAAACUGUAACCUUUUCGUUGGAUGGUUAGGUGAAGGGCUACCUUCAGAAUCUCAAAUCAUUGUCUUUACCUAAAAUACUCCUAAAGAAAAAAACAAUCAUUUUUAUUUCCACAUCAACUUAGAUAUGAUGAAGAAUUGUUUUUGAGCCCUGAGGAAAUUAACAUAUUUUCUUCCAACACAGCUAUUGAUUUUGUGUUUUUGGACUCAUCAAUUAAUGUUCAGAUCAACUAUCACACAUUAAAUAAGGGUCAAAGAAUGAGGUGAGGUUAACACUCAUUUUCAGUCUUAUUUUCCCACAAGUUC